Molecule: non-coding RNA, 208 nt
Filed under: Rhodovulum sp.
Lineage: Bacteria; Pseudomonadati; Pseudomonadota; Alphaproteobacteria; Rhodobacterales; Paracoccaceae
Also listed under: 1 other name
Source: RNAcentral
GAUGACGAGCGUGUGAUCGGUGUUCCAACCCCACUUGGGGGCGGAACUGAAAAGGGAACGCGGUGCGCCCGAUUGGGCAAAUCCGCGGCUGCCCCCGCAACUGUAAGCGGCGAGCAAGGCUGAUGAUGCCACUGGGGCCGACGCCCCGGGAAGGCCAGCCAAGCCCAGACCCGCGAGCCAGGAGACCUGCCGUUCGCCCGCGCCCCAG